AGACAUCAGAGUGACCUGGCAGUGACAUUUGUCACCCACUGAUCAACUGGGCAGAUCUGAUUGAUCCGGUUAGCCAGGUGGAUGUCUCCUCCCCCACUGUUGCUCCAUAGCAUCCCUCCCAGAGACACACUUGGUGGAAGAAGACAACCUUCCUUGCCUAAUUGUAGAGGACCAUUCGGUGUGUAGCUGCACCCCCCCCCCACUAGAACCUCCGAACAAGCCCUUGACAUGCAAUCCUCCCACUCCACAGGUUCCAGAUCAAAGGCCGUCAGAGUCUGUAUCUUAUU
Molecule: small RNA, 287 nt
Filed under: Meriones unguiculatus (Mongolian gerbil)
Lineage: Eukaryota; Metazoa; Chordata; Mammalia; Rodentia; Muridae
Description: 7SK RNA (ENSMUGG00000024777.1)
Rfam family: 7SK RNA
About the family: 7SK was discovered as an abundant small nuclear RNA in the mid-70s but a possible function has only recently been suggested. Two independent studies have found that 7SK RNA binds the CDK9/cyclin T complex (known as elongation factor P-TEFb). P-TEFb activates transcription by phosphorylating the C-terminal domain of RNA polymerase II.
Source: RNAcentral